CGGGACGCGGCUCCGAGCCUCCGGCUGAUGGAGAUGUGCUCGGUCCUCCCAGGAGUGGCAGAGGUUGGGUAUGAUUGUCCAUCGGGGCCGGAAGCCAGUGUCAUCACUGUGACGGCGUUGCCAGCACUUGGAGAGGCUGAGGCGGGAUCCCAAGUUCAAGGCCAGCCUGGGCAACUUUGCAAGACCCUCAGAAUACCAGAACAACAAAGACCAGGGCUGUAGCACACCUCGAAGGAUUAAAAGGCACUGGUUCACGGUGUCAGUGCUGAGUUUAUGGCUCAAGAGAAAGGUGUUCCUGCUUGGCCCCUGCAUCCAGCCGGCAGCUCAGGGCUUCUUCCUCCUUGUGGCUGUUGCCAGGCCUCUCCCAGCUGCGUGGCCCUGGGCCCGUCUCCUCUCUGUACUUGGAGCGGUGGACCUGACCUCCCGACCUCCCUCCUUUCCUUUCCUCUAUUUUUUGGCAGUAUUGGGGAUUGAACCCAGGACCUUGGCACUGAGCUACAUCCCCAGCCCUUCCUUUUUAUUCAUUCUGGGUCUUCCUAAGUCACUGAGUUGCCCAGACUGGGGGCUCUGAUUCGUGACCUUCCUGCCUCAGUCUCUUGGGGUGCUGGGAUUCCAGGUGUGCACCAUCAUGCCUGGCUGCUCAAGCUCUCGCCGUGGCCACCCAGUGAGGCCUCUUGCAGGGAGGUGGGAGGAAAAGAGGGGGCCUCUGAGGCCUUCUUGUCACCCUCCUGAAGCUGAAAGGUGCUGGCGAGAAACUGAAGAUUGACCAUGAGAAAGAAGGUGGAGAAACAGCUGCUGCCCGAGAGGCACAAGUAGCAGGCGGUCUGCAGGAUCCGGCCUUCCCAGGAGGUGUGUGUCUUCCUAGAGGUGUGUGUUGGGGUGGUGGGAGCAGUGGAACGACCUGACCUCCAAGGACGGCUGGGGAGACUGAGGCCUCGGGGUGUGCUUGCUCUAGGACUCGCCCCAGCCCUGGGAUCCACGGCCUCCGCCCCACCUGUCCUCGUCUCUCUCCCCGCCCAUGCUCCUGGGUUGCUCCCCCCAGCUCCCUGUGGCCUGACCCUGCCCACUUGAUAUGGCCUCCUCUUGUGCUCACAGGCUGUGGUCCCAGGAGGUGAGCAGGCCAAGUGCCGGGUGGCCCUGUCACAGGGGGUGCAGGGCAGCAGAGGAACAGAGGGGACAAUGGGACAAUGAGCCUGAGCCUCUGUCCCCUGCACAGGCCUGGCACCCCUGGGAUGUAACUGGCAAGAUGCCCCCUCUCCAUCCCCGGCGGCCCUGGCCCCUGGUGGUCAUGCAGUAUGGCCAAGGGCUGUUUCACUCCUGUCGCACUUCGGGCUGUGUCCCCCAUCUUGUUCCGGGUCCUUGGUCUGGCGUCACCUGCUGGGCCCUCUUCCCU
This 1393-nucleotide long non-coding RNA is filed under the name Heterocephalus glaber (naked mole-rat). RNAcentral's name for it is "lncRNA (ENSHGLG00000049255.1)". The record is from RNAcentral. Lineage: Eukaryota; Metazoa; Chordata; Mammalia; Rodentia; Bathyergidae.